RNAcentral lists this ribosomal RNA (253 nucleotides) under uncultured bacterium. RNAcentral describes it as "partial 16S ribosomal RNA". It matches the Rfam family "Bacterial small subunit ribosomal RNA", at positions 524 to 776 of the family's 1533-position model. The record is from RNAcentral.
UACGUAGGGUGCAAGCGUUAAUCGGAAUUACUGGGCGUAAAGCGCACGUAGGCGGAUCGUUAAGUCGGGGGUGAAAUCCUGGAGCUCAACUCCAGAACUGCCUUCGAUACUGGCGAUCUUGAGUCCGGAAGAGGUGAGUGGAACUCCUAGUGUAGAGGUGGAAUUCGUAGAUAUUAGGAAGAACACCAGUGGCGAAGGCGGCUCACUGGUCCGGUACUGACGCUGAGGUGCGAAAGCGUGGGUAGCAAACGGG